Lotus japonicus is the source of this 400-nucleotide long non-coding RNA. RefSeq lists it as uncharacterized. Lineage: Eukaryota; Viridiplantae; Streptophyta; Magnoliopsida; Fabales; Fabaceae. The transcript is spliced from 3 exons. The record is from RefSeq and is a predicted model, not a curated record.
GUGAUUCAAGGAACACAUAAAUGAGUUGGAGGAAAAAGGGAAACGCUUGCGGGAGACAAAUAACUUGCUAAAAAAGAUGAAGACAUGACUUUCUUGGUGGUUAAUUCACAUGAGAGGAUCAUUUUUCCCUGUGCAGUGCUAUUAGCCAUUCCAACGGAAGUAGAUAUUUGGCUAUCUUCUUCAGCUACAACUCUCACACCAAAAUAUCAGCUACGACGUACCAGCUCGAGCACAUUCUAGCUUUGAUUGGUCGUUUAGAAUCGAAGAAAAUUUUGUUUAUUGUUUCAUCAUAUUGUUGCUGCAUUUCAGCAUACAUACCAUUUUUUUUUACAAAAACAAUAAUGAGUCAUUGUUGAGUUUUUUCGCGGGAUCUGAUUGAGUAGUGAAAUAAAAUUAUGAG